Long non-coding RNA from Octodon degus (degu), 2637 nucleotides. RefSeq lists it as uncharacterized. The transcript has 5 exons. Lineage: Eukaryota; Metazoa; Chordata; Mammalia; Rodentia; Octodontidae. The record is from RefSeq and is a predicted model, not a curated record.
CCACGUAUCAUGAUUAUUCUUUAUGUAAUUAGUUUUGGAGCGCAUACAGCAGUUUCCUGCAACAAAGAUUCAUAAGUGGGGUUUCAUAUUUGACGUAAGUAUAAGGUCUGUCAGUUCCUGACCCCACAUAUUGUGCACAAACAUCACGUACCAGCAUCUUCCCUGUAGCUUGGAAUCGAGUCAGGAAAAUGUCCUUGGCUCCAGAAGAACUUUGAGUAUGGUUUGGACACCGGGAGGCUGGGCUUGCAGCCAGUCUCGGUGCCCUUUGCCACUUCCUGCUAAGGACGAGAGUCUUUGGGCAUCGAUGCCUUUAGAAACCUGGGCCUAUGAAUAAGUAGAGAAGCUGCAUUUAGCUGCAUUUUCCUCCACCCCGGCUCUGAAGCUUUGCUGCAGCGUAGAUGCCCUGUCUGAACGGAGCACAAGAAAGUCAAAUGUGAUAAGCAACAAAAAGAGGAGGCACCCACAACGCCUUCCACUUCCUGGAGAAAGCUUCCCUCCACCAACGCCUUUGCUGCCUGCCAAGGAGUCCAGCCCUGUGUGCUGCAGUUUUCAGGUUCUCUGUCGUUUCAGCAACCGUGGACUCCAGAGAUAAAGCUGGCUGGAGAAAUAUGAGAAUAAAUCCUCCCUAACUCGCCGCCAGCCCAGCCUGUGCAGUCCAGCAGCAGCACCUGCAGUGUCCAGCUCUGCAUCCCAGCGGGGUGAUUUCCAGUCGGGGAAAAUCAGGAUGCGUGAAACCCAGCCUUCCACGGCAGAGGAGGAUAAAGGUCCCCAGAGUCACCAACUUAUCUGCUGCCGGACUGUGUACGUGAGCUCUCAGAACUUCAAUUAAUUUCCGGGGGCGGGGGGAUGCCACACAUCUGGAGGUGAGCUGCUGACAAGUGCCUGGAGAUUUGGCCCAUCAAGGGUCAUCGUGAGACACGAGCACAGUCCUGCUGCUCUGGUGGGAACACGGGGAUGCACACUGGAGUGGAGAGGCCCUCUUCUUACUGCAGACAGUGUUGGACUUGAGGGUGGCCCUCAAGAUAGGCUGCGAUGUGUGCAUUGACUUCCCUUAGAAUCUGAGAAAGACUGGGACCUUGAUUCAGCACCGAUUAGGCGUGUCUUCCUAGGAUGGGUCAUAAAGACAUAAGAAUUAAUGGGUUGAUAUUAACAGCAAUAUAGAAACACAUCUAUACUUAAAUAGAUACAUUGAUAAUCUAUAGGUUAAUGUAUAAAUUGAUGUACAAAUUUAUGAAUAAUGCAUGCAUAAUUUACAUAAAACAUGAACAUAUACCUUAUCUAUAGUAGUUCUAAUUUUAUCAUUACAUAAAAUGGGUCAUUCAUAUACCAUGCAAUUAUAUAACUCUGUCAUGGUUUAUACAAUCUAUAAAUUUAUCUAUUAGUGUAUAAUCUAGAAACAUAUAUUACUAUAUUGUGAACAUAUUUGUAGAUUAUAUUAUGAUAUAAUCUAGAGACAUAUCAAUAUAUUUAUAAAUUAUAUCACUAUAUGGGUAGAUCAUUACGUGAUAGGUAAGUGAGCAGGAGCUCAUGAAGUCAUCCAGUUGCACAGGUGGGACUCAAAAGUCCCUCUUCUCCAUCCUCCCUCCCCUGUUGUCCCUCUCCUGUUCCACAGGAGCCUGCCCCCCUUAGCAGGUUGAUGUUGUAUUUCACUGAGAGAAGUUGCAGUGUAGCCCCUGGAAAGAUGCACAAGGGAAUUUCUCCUAGUCCAGGCCUUUUCAGAUGCACUGUGGGACCCUGGUGUUCUCCGCAUGUUGAUCUUAUUUCCAGAAACAUAAAUCCGCAGUUCUUAGCUUUCGGUGGUGCUCACGAGAGUUCCCAAGGGAGCUUGUUAAACACGCAUAUCCUCUGGCUUCCGCCCAAGAUUCUGAGUCAGAAGCCGGGCUGGUGUCCAGGAACCCACAGGCCUCACAGUUGUUCUCCAGUGUUAAAAAGGAAGAUGAGGAUUUUCAUGACGCAGCUGCCUGGAAGUACUGUCGUCUGGAUCCAACUGCCAAGCACACUGGCUAGACCCAGCCCAGCGGCCCAACUCCAGUAAGAAUGCUAGUAACACACCAAAGGAUGGAGCUCCAGUAAUGCCCCAGGUGUCUUCGAAGAAAGUUCCUCUGACAGCCUCGCCACUUCCAGGGCUGGCAUCCUAAAUAGCAUUACAAAAUAGUACGGAGUCGUGACUACGUUCCCAAAGCAUUGAAGUGGUGUACAGCGGAGCUCCCUCCCCAAGACGGAGAAGAAGGACUCACAACUGCCAUUUACUGGUUCUGAACAGACAGUGGGAAGAUGCAGCAGGAGCCAAGAGGCCAGACCACCAGCCCUGGGAUCCCCUGAACAUCGAGCAGCUCCUUUGUCCCCACUGAGCACGAGAAGCAAAAGCACCAAAGCCAAAGUGCACUUGCUGAGUUCUUCUGUUCCAGUUCUCAGACUGUGCACUGGACCCAAAUGGAGGCAAGGGCACCUGGAGGAGGGCCCAAAAGCCUGUGGAAACUUUCUUCAGCUCCAAAGUGAGGUGGGCUGUAAAAGGCUCUAGUCAACAGCUUUUGUGAAUAACCUACUACUAUGGUGGACUGCUGGACUGUGUUGGAUUGUUUUGCUGAAUCCAAGCACCUAUAAUAUUUAGAAGCCAAUAGAAUACCCAACAGGACU